UAUCUCUGUAGAGUCUGCAUAUCAAUAAGCGGAGGAAAAGAAACUAACAAGGAUUCCCCUAGUAACGGCGAGUGAAGCGGGAAGAGCUCAAAUUUGAAAUCUUAAAGGGUUUCCCUUUACGAAUUGUAGUUUAAAGAAGUGUUUUCUGUUGGAGUUUCGGUAAAAGUUCUUUGGAAUAGGACAUCAUAGAGGGUGAGAAUCCCGUAUUUGACCGUUACUUUCCAGCUGUGUGAUACACUUUCAAAGAGUCGGAUUGUUUGGGAAUGCAGUCCAAGAUGGGUGGUAAAUUUCAUCUAAAGCUAAAUAUUGGCGAGAGACCGAUAGCGAACAAGUACCGUGAGGGAAAGAUGAAAAGAACUUUGAAAAGAGAGUUAAACAGUACGUGAAGUUGUCAAAAGGGGAGCGUUUGACACCAGUGUUGUUUAGUUGAAAAUCAAUUCAAUAGUUUUUGAUUCUAAGUAGUAUUGACUUCAUCAGCUUGCUGCUUUCUUCUCAGAAAUUAUUGAAUGCAACUUUUCAGUUAACAAGUCAACAUCAAUUUCUUUUGUUGUAAAAGGGUAUAGAGGAAGGUGGCUUUCUUUUCGGAGAAAGUGUUUAUAGCCUUUGAUCUCUGCAACCGGAGAGACUGAGGUCUGCAGCGUAGACUCUUCGGGGUUAAAUACAUUUGUGCUAAGCUAUAGCUUUUUAUAGACAACUUGUUGACUAUAUUUAGUCUUGUGGCUUACUCGCUUAUGCUAUUUUACCUACGCUUAGGAUGUUGACGCAUGAGAUAUACGC
RNAcentral lists this ribosomal RNA (777 nucleotides) under uncultured Neocallimastigales. Its description in RNAcentral is "partial large subunit ribosomal RNA". It matches the Rfam family "Eukaryotic large subunit ribosomal RNA", at positions 24 to 646 of the family's 3401-position model. Lineage: Eukaryota; Fungi; Neocallimastigomycota; Neocallimastigomycetes; Neocallimastigales. The record is from RNAcentral.